Molecule: transfer RNA, 73 nt
Filed under: Loxodonta africana (African savanna elephant)
Lineage: Eukaryota; Metazoa; Chordata; Mammalia; Proboscidea; Elephantidae
Rfam family: tRNA
About the family: Transfer RNA (tRNA) molecules are approximately 80 nucleotides in length. Their secondary structure includes four short double-helical elements and three loops (D, anti-codon, and T loops).
Source: Rfam by way of RNAcentral
CCCUGUGUGAUGCAAAUGGUUAAGCACUGGGCUAUUAACCAAAAGGCUGGUGGUUCAAAUCCACCCAGAGGCA